AUUGAACGCUGGCGGCAUGCUUUACACAUGCAAGUCGAACGGUAACAGGCCUUCGGGUGCUGACGAGUGGCGCACGGGCGAGUAAUGCAUCGGAACGUACCCAGAGGUGGGGGAUAACGCAGCGAAAGCUGUGCUAAUACCGCAUGUGAUCUGAGGAUGAAAGCGGGGGACCGAGCAGCAAUGUUUGGCCUCGCGCCUUUGGAGCGGCCGAUGUUGGACUGGCUAGUUGGUGGGGUAAAGGCCUACCAGGUCGACGAUCCGUAGCUGGUCUGAGAGGACGACCAGCCGCACGGGGAGUGAGACAGGGCCCAGGCGCCUGCGGGAGGCAGCAGUGGGGAAUUUUGGACAAUGGGCGCAAGCCUGGUCCAGCAAUGCCGCGUGCGGGAAGAAGGCCUUCGGGUUGUAAACCGCUUUUGGCAGGAACGAAACGGUGUCCGCUAAUACCGGGCGCUAAUGACGGUACCUGCAGAAUAAGCACCGGCUAACUACGUG
RNAcentral lists this ribosomal RNA (492 nucleotides) under uncultured bacterium. Its description in RNAcentral is "partial 16S ribosomal RNA". It matches the Rfam family "Bacterial small subunit ribosomal RNA", at positions 28 to 507 of the family's 1533-position model. The record is from RNAcentral.